Molecule: long non-coding RNA, 2161 nt
Organism: Equus asinus (donkey)
Lineage: Eukaryota; Metazoa; Chordata; Mammalia; Perissodactyla; Equidae
Source: Ensembl
GCACAGAUGUUAGCUCAUGGCCGGUCUUCCUCAGCAAAAAGAGGAGGGUUGGCAGCAGAUGUUAGCUCAGGGCUAAUCUUCCUUAAAAAAAAAAGUAGAAUUACACAUAAUCUCAUCAUUAUAAUAUAACAACUUUUCAUUUGCUUCUAUCUUUAUAAUCUGUCUAAAUGCACACAUAUUUUCACAUGGCUUUAAUCAUAAGUGACAUAUAGAUUUAAAAUUUUCACUUUAAUGUUAUAUCUUAAACACAGUCCAUUUAAAAAAAUAAUUUUUAAUGGCCACAUGAUAGCCCAGUGGGUUAAUGAGGCAUAAUUUACUUAACCAUACCCGUAUCAUUGGAUAUUUCAGUGAUUCUAAUUUUUCACUAUUGUAAGUAAUUAACACUAGAGUGGACAUCUUCAUACACGGUCUUCUUUCUUUUGGUUAUCUUUCUGUCAUUUAUUUUUUAACCUGAUUGGCCUGCAAUCAGAGAACAUGAUUUGUGUGGUGCUGAUUCUGGGAAACUUGUUGAGACUGGCUUUGUAUAGCCAAAUAUGUGGUCAGUUUUCAUGUAUGUUUCUUGUACUCUUAAGAAAAAUGUGCAUUCUCUGUAGUUGGAUUCAAGAUUCUAUACAUGUCCUUUUGAUCAAGCUUGUUAAUUGUAUUGUUCGUAUUUUCUGUAUUCUACUAAUUUUUGGUCAUGUGACAUCAAUUACUGAGAAAGGUAUAUGUUAUAUCCUACUAUGGUGGUGGACUUGUUAGUUUCUCUUCAUAAUUCUGUCAGUUUUUGCUGUAUGUUAUUUGAAGAUAUCAUUGGGUACAUAUAUAACUUCAGAAUUAGUGUCUCUUCCUGGUGAAUUGAAUUUGUUAUCAUUAUGUCAUUACUAUAUUUAUUCCUAAUAGUGCAUUUUUGCCUUGAAGGCUAUUUGGUCCAGUAGGAACAGAGCCACUCUAACUUUUUUCUGGUUAGUGUCUGCCUGGCAUAUCCUUUCCCAUCUUUUCUUCUUUUCAACCUUUUUAUGUGUCAGAGACUGGGUAAAUGCUCAGUCCUACAUUUCCCUACUCUUUUUGCGGUUAUGUUGAGACCACCAGAGGAAUGUGGGCAGAAGUGAUGUAUGCCACUUCUAGGUUUGGCCCCUAAAAUGUCAUACAUGGUCUUUGAUGUGCUCUCUCCCCUGUUCACAUGGCUCAAGGCAAACAACUCCAAGAUGGUAGAACUAGGAUUGAAGGAUCCCGGAUUCUUUUGUCAUUGAUUGAAGGAGCAACAGCCAGAGCAGCAGCCCGACCUGAUGAACUGUGAUGUUUUCUCUAGGACACAGCAAAUAUCUGGAAUGUUUAGUUUUGUUUUAAUCCAAUCUGAGGAUAUCUUUCUUUUGACUGAUUACCCAGAUGUACCUGAGAAAGGUUCUACAAAUUUAUGUCUCCAGGAGCAGUGAAUGAAGAGGCCUAGCUUCCCUAGAUCCUUACUGAUAUUAACAUUCUAAUUAAUUUUCAUCAGCCUUAUAUUCUAAAAAAAGUACCUUGUUUUAAUUUGCAUUUCUGAUUACUUUGUAUUCAUCAUAAUUAUUCAUUUUUUGAAUUGUGAUCCAGAAAUAGGGUUUGUAUGGUUUCAGCGUUUUGGAAAUCACUGAGAUGUACUUCAUGUUUUGCAGCUGUGCUGUAAAGGUUAGUCACAGCAGGUCUGCAAUUAACCUGAGCUGUUUGGUUAAAUUAAAGCUCUUGCUUGACACCGACUUCUGGUCAAAGGGUCAAAGCAUGAAAUGUUGAUGUAUAGUGUGUCUAUGUAACCAUGAGUCCAAAGAGUUUCAGGGCAGUUUGACCUAGCUUGUCAGCAUUGUUUAUUAAUAACAAUGAGAUUGAAGAGUUGCACCUGGUCUUGGUGUGAUACUCCCCCGCCCCCGCCCCAGGGUUCUGCUGGUUCUGCAGCAGGGCUAUGCCUAGGUGACUAGCAAAAUAUAAACAACCUCAGCAAAGACUUCGUUUUGGUCUCACUGGUUCUGAAGUGUUCUGUGCACACAUCAGUGGUUCCGGAUCCAUAAGACAUCUGGCCUGGCCCUUACAGAAAGAGGACAAUAGGAGCCUGCACCUGGCCUCUCCAGACCCCUGCUGUGAGUCAUAUGCUGUGAUGUAUAUUCUUCCAUGCUCUUGCUCUAGUGUGUCCUUUCUCUGUAAUAAACUGUAG